AUGGGUUAUCAUCAGAUUCGUAUCCGUGAGCAAGAUAUUCCCAAGACGCCUUUCAGGACAAGCUUUGGUUCAUAUGAAUACACUGUCAUGUCUUUUGGCCUCGUCAACGCUCCUCCGACGUUCUCUCGCAUGAUGAACUUCAUCUUCAACGCCUACACCAAUGACUUCGUUUUGGUCUAUCUCGACGACAUUCUGGUUUUCUCCAAGAACAAGGAAGAUCAUGCCAAACACUUGCGUUUGGUGCUUGAUAAGCUCAGGGAACAUCAAUUCUACGCCAAGUUCUCCAAGUGUGAAUUUUGGCUCGAUGAGGUUCUUUAUCUUGGUCAUAUCAUCUCUGCCAAGGGCAUUGCCAUGAAUCCUGAGAAGGUGUCUGCAAUUGUUAAUUGGGAACCUCCUCAGAACGUGAAGCAACUCCGCAGUUUCCUCGGUCUCACAAGCUAUUGCAGAAGAUUCGUUGAAAACUUUUCUAAGAUCACAAAGCCUCUCUCAAAUCUUCUUCAGAAGCACAUCAAGUACGUUUGGUCUCCGGAGUGUGAUAUUGCUUUCAACACUUUGAAAGAGAAGUUGAUCACUGCUCCAGUUUUGACUCCGCCUGAUGAAUCCAAGCCGUACAAGGUCUUUUGUGAUGCCUCUCUCCAAGGUCUCGGUGCAGUCUUGAUGCAAGAGAAGAAAGUUGUUGCUUAUACCUCCCGCCAGUUGAAACCUAAUGAGAAGAACUACCCCACUCAUGAUCUAGAGUUGGCGGCAGUUGUGCAUGCUCUGUUGACUUGGAGACAUCUUCUAUUGGGAAGAAAAGUGGAUAUUUUCACUGAUCACAAGAGUCUCAAGUACAUCUUCACUCAGCCUAAUCUCAACCUCAGGCAAACUCGAUGGGUCGAAAUGAUUCAAGAGUUUAAUCCGAGUAUCGAGUAUACUCCAGGCAAGGCCAAUGUGAUCGCUGACGCUUUGAGCAGGAAAGCGUAUUGCAACAGUCUGAUUCUUAAGCCUUAUCAACCCGAGCUUUGUGAAGCUUUCCGCAAACUGAAUCUGCAAGUUGUUCCUCAAGGUUUCCUCGCCAACCUUCACGUCUCCCCUACCUUAGAAGACCAGAUUCGCCAAGCCCAGCUUCUUGAUGCUAUGGUGAAAAAGGUGAAGAUUGGUAUUGCAAAGAGUCAGUCCAAGUACAAGUGCUACCGCCUUGAUUACAAGGACACUCUCUUCUUCGAGGAUCGAAUUGUUGUACCCAAAGGUGACCUCCGUAAAGUGGUCAUGAAUGAGGCUCACAAUUCUCUCCUCUCCAUCCACCCUAGGAGUACGAAGAUGUAUCAGGAUCUCAAGCAAGCUUAUUGGUGGACUCGAAUGAAGUGCGAGAUCGCUCAAUUCGUGAACGAGUGUGAUGUCUAUAGAAGAGUGAAGGUAGAACAUCAAAGGCCAGCAGGUCUCCUCCAACCUCUUGCCAUUCCAGAAUGGAAGUUUGACCACAUUGAAAUGGACUUCGUGACUGGGUUUCCAAAGUCCAAGCAUGGCAAUGAUGCUAUAUUCGUUGUCAUCGACAAGCUCACCAAAGUGGCUCACUUUCUGCCGAUCAAAGAGUCGAUCACUGCAGCUCAAUUGGCGGAACUCUAUACCUCUCGAAUUGUCUCUCUGCACGGUAUUCCUCAAGUGAUAUCUUCAGACCGUGGCAGCAUCUUUACCUCCAAGUUUUGGGAUUCUUUUCAAAAGGCCAUGGGCACCAACAUCCGCUUCAGCACUGCUUUCCAUCCUCAAACAAGCGGUCAAGUCGAGCGUGUCAACCAGAUUCUUGAAGAUAUGCUCAGGGCUUGUGUGAUUUCCUUCGGCAUGAAAUGGGAGAAUUGUCUUCCUUAUGCUGAAUUCUCAUACAACAACAGUUUUCAAGCAAGUUCGGGCAAGGCCCCAUUUGAAAUUCUGUAUGGCAGGAAGUGCCGUACCCCUCUCAACUAG
Molecule: ribosomal RNA, 1941 nt
Filed under: Triticum aestivum (bread wheat)
Lineage: Eukaryota; Viridiplantae; Streptophyta; Magnoliopsida; Poales; Poaceae
Description: partial small subunit ribosomal RNA
Source: RNAcentral